Molecule: ribosomal RNA, 578 nt
Filed under: uncultured bacterium
Lineage: Bacteria
Description: partial 16S ribosomal RNA
Rfam family: Bacterial small subunit ribosomal RNA
Source: RNAcentral
UAAGGAAUAUUGGUCAAUGGGCGGAAGCCUGAACCAGCCAUGCCGCGUGCAGGAUGACUGCCCUAUGGGUUGUAAACUGCUUUUGUCCAGGAAUAAACCUUUCUACGUGUAGGAAGCUGAAUGUACUGGAAGAAUAAGGAUCGGCUAACUCCGUGCCAGCAGCCGCGGUAAUACGGAGGAUCCGAGCGUUAUCCGGAUUUAUUGGGUUUAAAGGGUGCGUAGGCGGCCUAUUAAGUCAGGGGUGAAAUACGGUGGCUCAACCAUCGCAGUGCCUUUGAUACUGAUGGGCUUGAAUCCAUUUGAAGGUGGGCGGAAUAAGACAAGUAGCGGUGAAAUGCAUAGAUAUGUCUUAGAACUCCGAUUGCGAAGGCAGCUCACUAAGCUGGUAUUGACGCUGAUGCACGAAAGCGUGGGGAUCGAACAGGAUUAGAUACCCUGGUAGUCCACGCCCUAAACGAUGAUAACUCGAUGUUGGCGAUAGACAGCCAGCGUCCAAGCGAAAGCGUUAAGUUAUCCACCUGGGGAGUACGCCCGCAAGGGUGAAACUUAAAGGAAUUGACGGGGUCAUAGCUGUUUCC